GAUGAAGAACGUAGCGAAAUGCGAUACUUGGGGUGAAUUGCAGAAUCCCGUGAACCAUCGAGUCUUUGAACGCAAGUUGCGCCCGAAGCCAUUAGGCCGAGGGCACGCCUGCCUGGGCGUCACACGUCGUUGCCCCCCCAUCUACUCCUUCGGGAUUGCGGGGGGCGGAUGAUGGCCUCCCGUGCGCCUCGCCGCGCGGUUGGCAUAAAUGCCAAGUCCUCGGCGACGCACGCCACGACAAUCGGUGGUUGCGAAACCUCGGUUGCCCGUCGUGUGCGGUCGUCGCGCAUCGAGGGCUCGAAAAAAUUGCCGGGUUCCGGCUCGGCUUUCAACGCGACCCCAGGUCAGGCGGGGUUACCCGCUGAAUUUAAGCAUAUCAAUAAGCGGAGGA
Molecule: unclassified non-coding RNA, 391 nt
Filed under: soil metagenome
Description: partial contains 5.8S ribosomal RNA, internal transcribed spacer 2, and large subunit ribosomal RNA
Rfam family: 5.8S ribosomal RNA (bases 1-122)
Source: RNAcentral